AACGUAGGUGGCGAGCGUUAUCCGGAUUUACUGGGCGUAAAGGGUGUGCAGGCUGCCCCUCAAGUGGUGUAUGAAAGGGCUCGGCUCAACCGGGCUAGGUUAUGCCAGACUGAGGGGCUAGAGAGCGAGAGCGGGACGUGGAAUUCCGGGUGUAGUGGUGAAAUGCGUAGAGAUCCGGAGGAACACCGGUGGCGAAGGCGACAUCCUGGACCGGCAUUGACGCUGAGGCGCGAAAGCCAGGGGAGCAAACGGG
RNAcentral lists this ribosomal RNA (253 nucleotides) under uncultured bacterium. RNAcentral describes it as "partial 16S ribosomal RNA". It matches the Rfam family "Bacterial small subunit ribosomal RNA", at positions 524 to 776 of the family's 1533-position model. The record is from RNAcentral.